RNAcentral lists this ribosomal RNA (158 nucleotides) under Chalara sp. RNAcentral's name for it is "partial large subunit ribosomal RNA". It matches the Rfam family "Eukaryotic large subunit ribosomal RNA", at positions 99 to 261 of the family's 3401-position model. Lineage: Eukaryota; Fungi; Ascomycota; Leotiomycetes; Helotiales. The record is from RNAcentral.
CGGCAACAGCUCAAAUUUGAAAUCUGGCCUUUGGUCCGAAUUGUAAUUUGUAGAGGAUGCUUUUGGUGAGGUUCUUUCCGAGUUCCCUGGAACGGGACGCCUUAGAGGGUGAGAGCCCCGUACGGUUGGAUACCUAGCCUCUGUAAAGCUCCUUCGAC